AGUGAACGCUGGCGGUAGGCCUAACACAUGCAAGUCGAACGGCAGCACAGUAAGAGCUUGCUCUUACGGGUGGCGAGUGGCGGACGGGUGAGGAAUACAUCGGAAUCUACUUUUUCGUGGGGGAUAACGUAGGGAAACUUACGCUAAUACCGCAUACGACCUACGGGUGAAAGCAGGGGAUCUUCGGACCUUGCGCGAUUGAAUGAGCCGCUGUCGGAUUAGCUAGUUGGCGGGGUAAAGGCCCACCAAGGCGACGAUCCGUAGCUGGUCUGAGAGGAUGAUCAGCCACACUGGAACGGAGACACGGUCCAGACUCCUACGAGAGGCAGCAGUGGGGAAUAUUGGACAAUGGGCGCAAGCCUGAUCCAGCCAUACCGCGUGUGUGAAGAAGGCCUUCGGGUUGGAAAGCCCUUUUGUUGGGAAAGAAAAGCAGCAGGUUAAUACCCCGCUGUUCUGACGGUACCCAAAGAAUAAGCACCGGCUAACUUCGUG
Molecule: ribosomal RNA, 492 nt
Filed under: uncultured bacterium
Lineage: Bacteria
Description: partial 16S ribosomal RNA
Rfam family: Bacterial small subunit ribosomal RNA
Source: RNAcentral